AGGAGAGAGAAUUCGAGCAUGAUAGGCACCAAUACAAGUGAAAGACAGCACAGUCGGUAAUUGACGCUUCGUAUCUGCUGCAGAAACAUGCAGUCAUCAAAGAUAUGCCCCCGCCAGCUUCGGAUUGAUAACACAUCUGAUUUCCUGGCUCAUGUUCCUUACCGUAAACACCCUGGAAUCCUAAACCUGAAAGUUGUUCGACUGCCAAAGGAGGUUCAGGAUGCGGCAAAGGUUUUGAAACAAAGUAGCACCAUUAGAGAUCUACAAGGGCACAAUAACUCCCUAAACAAUUAUCUUUGGAGUCGUCAAUGCCCAGCUGAGGACAAGGACUUGAGAGUCCGGGCUGAAGAACUGGAGAAGAAGUUUAGUGCCUCUGUGGGUGGUGAUGCAGCUACACUGAAGAACUGGGUCUGGUUUAUUUUGCCGCUCGCUUUGAUGGAGGAUAUGCAGCAGUAACCCGAGCUUUUAAAGAGAUACAUCAGCAUUGCCCAGAAUUCAAGCCUCAAACAUUGCUGGAUUUUGGCUCUGGUACUGGUUCAGUUACAUCGUGAGAGCAAGCUAUCAUUUAUUAUUUUUAGGGCAGCAAGCAAUCUCUGGGGUAAAAGUGUGGCUGAAUAAAUGUGUGUACAUAAUGCUGCACCCAUGAAUAAACUCAGUGAACUGGUACUAAAAGGUGGCUCAGAUUCUGCUACACUGAAGAACUGGGUCUAGUUUAUUUUGCCGCUCGCUUUGAUGGAGGAUAUGCAGCAGUAACCCGAGCUUUUAAAGAGAUACAUCAGCAUUGUCCAGAAUUCAAGCCUCAAACAUUGCUGGAUUUUGGCUCUGGUACUGGUUCAGUUACAUCGUGAGAGCAAGCUAUCAUUUAUUAUUUUUAGGGCAGCAAGCAAUCUCUGCGGUAAAAGUCUGGCUGAAUAAAUGUGUGUACAUAAUGCUGCACCCAUGAAUAAACUCAGUGAACUGGUUCUAAAAGGUGGCUCAGAUUCUGGUGAGAUGCAUAUCUCUGGAGUUUACUUCUGACAGUUUUUGCCACUUUCACCUAAAGUACACUGUGUUUUUAUCAGUGGGUGAUUAGCGAAUCAUACUCUUAGGGCCAUGUCACACGGGGACAUUUGUAGCAAAGAUUAAACUGUGGGGGCCAAACAAGAAUUACCAUUGAAUAACAUUAGGACCAGAAUUACGAUUGAAGCAAAACUUUGCGGCAAUCCAGAUUAAUUAUGGGAAAUGUGAAGGGAGACUAUUUGCUGUGGGAUUACCAUGAGUACUAAGUUUUACUUGCAACAAUUUAAUGUUAUUCAAUAAGAAGUCUUUUUCGGAAGAUUUUUUGCCAGCGGUAGUGAAGAUUUAGCCUCGGGUGACAAAUCUCCCCAUGUGCCGUAUGAUCUCGUAGUCUCUGCCUUCUCAUUAUAUGGUCUUCCAAGUCUGUCUGAAUGGGAGAAAAUCAUUCAAGCUUUGUGGAGUAAUACAGGAGGCUUUCUGGUUUGUUUAAUCAUUCCAUCCACAGUCCUGAAGAUGCUCUCUUAAAUAAAUAAUGUAUCAUUAUACGUAAAUACAUGUUAAUAAUAAAAUAAUAAUAAUAAGAUGUUCAGGGCUUAUAAUAAAUGGUAAAUCAACAAAAUGGUUAAUAAGGACACACUAGAUUUGUGUGGUGCCAGUAUAGAAUAUUUUACUGUACUGUAAUGUAA
This is a long non-coding RNA of Xenopus laevis (African clawed frog), 1682 nucleotides long. RefSeq lists it as uncharacterized. The transcript has 11 exons. The record is from RefSeq and is a predicted model, not a curated record. NCBI's taxonomy places the organism in Eukaryota, Metazoa, Chordata, Amphibia, Anura, Pipidae.